CUUCUGAAGAAAGGGAAGAAUCUCCUUCCUGAAGUUGAUUAGAAUGAUCUGCAUAUUGAUUUUCAAGACAUCACAGACAGAACAGAAAACCAGAGAGCUUGGAUAAGAGGCUGCGACUGUGGGGUCUGAGCAAAAGGAAGGAGCUGGUCGCGAAGAACGAGGUCAUUGUCCAAUCUGCUCUUUAUUGUAUCAGAGAACCUCUCGCCAAUGGAGAACCCCAUUUGGGCUCUUGCGGGUGCAAGUAACAGCUAUUGUAAUGGCGGCUGCGGCUUCUUCCUUGUCCACAUGCUCA
This is a non-coding RNA of Momordica charantia (bitter melon), 292 nucleotides long. The record is from RefSeq and is a predicted model, not a curated record. NCBI's taxonomy places the organism in Eukaryota, Viridiplantae, Streptophyta, Magnoliopsida, Cucurbitales, Cucurbitaceae.